Molecule: ribosomal RNA, 735 nt
Filed under: uncultured bacterium
Lineage: Bacteria
Description: bacterial SSU rRNA
Rfam family: Bacterial small subunit ribosomal RNA
Source: RNAcentral
UGACGAGUAGCUACUUCGGUAGCGAGAGUGGCGGACGGGUGAGUAACGCGUAGGAAUCUGCCUAUUAGUGGGGGACAACGUGGGGAAACUCACGCUAAUACCGCAUACGCCCUACGGGGGAAAGGAGGGGACCUUCGGGCCUUUCGCUAAUAGAUGAGCCUGCGUAGGAUUAGCUAGUUGGUAGGGUAAAGGCCUACCAAGGCGACGAUCCUUAGCUGGUCUGAGAGGACGAUCAGCCACACCGGGACUGAGACACGGCCCAGACUCCUACGGGAGGCAGCAGUGGGGAAUAUUGGACAAUGGGCGCAAGCCUGAUCCAGCAAUACCGCGUGUGUGAAGAAGGCCUGAGGGUUGUAAAGCACUUUCACUGGGGAGGAAAAAGAGUAGGCUAAUAUCCUGCUUAUUGACAUUACCUAGAGAAGAAGCACCGGCUAACUCCGUGCCAGCAGCCGCGGUAAUACGGAGGGUGCGAGCGUUAAUCGGAAUUACUGGGCGUAAAGCGUGCGUAGGCGGCUCGUUAAGUCAGAUGUGAAAGCCCUGGGCUUAACCUGGGAACGGCAUUUGAAACUGGCGAGCUAGAGUUGAGUAGAGGUAAGUGGAAUUUCAGGUGUAGCGGUGAAAUGCGUAGAUAUCUGAAGGAACACCAGUGGCGAAGGCGACUUACUGGACUCAAACUGACGCUGAGGUACGAAAGCGUGGGUAGCAAACAGGAUUAGAUACCCUGGUAGUCCACGC